Molecule: long non-coding RNA, 388 nt
Organism: Exaiptasia diaphana
Lineage: Eukaryota; Metazoa; Cnidaria; Anthozoa; Actiniaria; Aiptasiidae
Exons: 3
Source: RefSeq, a predicted model, not a curated record
AAAAACAAUUGGAAAAAAAAGAUCAAGAACCACAGACAAUGAUGGGUCUGUUGAAGACGAUAAGUCAAAAAAAAAAAAGAACUAGAAAAAGAUGAAGCAGAGCAAGAUGAAGCAAAGGAAAAUGAAACAGAGGAAGCUGAAGAAGAGAAAAGGGAUAAUGAAGAGACGAAAAGCAGGAAAAGAGUAAGACCACAUUGGCAAAAAGACUACAUUCAGCUCUAAGGGCAAUUAUAUAACUAAAAAGGUUGCAUUUUAAUGUGGUUUCUGUUCAACUGCAUUUGCCAUGUUAACACUUAGGUGUCAUUUUGUACAAAAACCAGUACACAGUUAGAAAACAAUGAUAUUGAAGCUAUUUUUGUAUAUGUGAGUAGUAUCAAAAGUGUUAAAC